GACGAACGCUGGCGGCGUGCUUAACACAUGCAAGUCGAGCGGUAAGGCCCUUUCGGGGGUACGACGAGCGGCGAACGGGUGAGUAACACGUGGGUGACCUGCCCUCAGCUCUGGGAUAAGCCUGGGAAACCGGGUCUAAUACCGGAUAUGACUCCAUGACGCAUGUUGUGGGGUGGAAAGCCUUGUGCGGCUGAGGAUGGGCCCGCGGCCUAUCAGCUUGUUGGUGGGGUGAUGGCCUACCAAGGCGACGACGGGUAGCCGGCCUGAGAGGGCGACCGGCCACACUGGGACUGAGACACGGCCCAGACUCCUACGGGAGGCAGCAGUGGGGAAUCUUGCGCAAUGGGCGAAAGCCUGACGCAGCGACGCCGCGUGAGGGAUGACGGCCUGGUGUAACU
This 398-nucleotide ribosomal RNA is filed under the name uncultured bacterium. RNAcentral describes it as "bacterial SSU rRNA". It matches the Rfam family "Bacterial small subunit ribosomal RNA", at positions 28 to 430 of the family's 1533-position model. The record is from RNAcentral.